RNAcentral lists this ribosomal RNA (274 nucleotides) under uncultured bacterium. Its description in RNAcentral is "partial 16S ribosomal RNA". It matches the Rfam family "Bacterial small subunit ribosomal RNA", at positions 28 to 299 of the family's 1533-position model. The record is from RNAcentral.
GAUGAACGCUAGCGGCAGGCCUAAUACAUGCAAGCCGAACGGCAAGAACUUUAGCAAUAGAGUUCCUAGAGUGGCGUAAGGGUGCGUAACACGUAUGCAAUCUGCCCUCAACAGGAGGAUAGCUCCCCGAAAGGGGAAUUAAGACUCCAUAAGAUCAUUUUAUGGCAUCAUGAGAUGAUUAAACUACCAGGGGUUGAGGAUGAGCAUGCGCAUGAUUAGUUAGUUGGCGGGGUAACGGCCCACCAAGACGAUGAUCAUUAGGGGAACUGAGAGG